UUGGAUGCUAUGAUUGUAAAAGUAAUUCCUCGUACUGAAUGCUCAUAAGGCAUGAUAGACUUACAUUACUACCCAUAGAAUAUGAGCAUC
Molecule: small nucleolar RNA, 90 nt
Organism: Arabidopsis thaliana (thale cress)
Lineage: Eukaryota; Viridiplantae; Streptophyta; Magnoliopsida; Brassicales; Brassicaceae
Rfam family: Small nucleolar RNA snoR8a
Source: Rfam